CCUACGGGGUGCAGCAGUAGGGAAUCUUCCACAAUGGGCGAAAGCCUGAUGGAGCAACGCCGCGUGCGUGAAGAAGGUCCUCGGAUCGUAAAACCCUGUUGUUAGAGAAGAAAGUGCGUGAGAGUAACUGUUCACGUUUCGACGGUACCUAACCAGAAAGCCACGGCUAACUACGUGCCAGCAGCCGCGGUAAUACGUAGGUGGCAAGCGUUAUCCGGAUUUAUUGGGCGGAAAGGGAACGCGGGCGGUCUUUUAAGUCUGAUGUGAAAGCCUUCGGCUUAACCGGAGUAGUGCAUUGGAAACUGGGAGACUGGAGUGCAGAAGAGGAGAGUGGAACUCCAUGUGUAGCGGUGAAAUGCGUAGAUAUAUGGAAGAACACCAGUGGCGAAAGCGGCUCUCUGGUCUGUAACUGACGCUGAGGUUCGAAAGCGUGGGUAGCAAACAGGAUUAGAUACCCCUGUAGUC
RNAcentral lists this ribosomal RNA (465 nucleotides) under uncultured bacterium. RNAcentral's name for it is "partial 16S ribosomal RNA". It matches the Rfam family "Bacterial small subunit ribosomal RNA", at positions 338 to 795 of the family's 1533-position model. The record is from RNAcentral.